This 253-nucleotide ribosomal RNA is filed under the name uncultured bacterium. RNAcentral describes it as "partial 16S ribosomal RNA". It matches the Rfam family "Bacterial small subunit ribosomal RNA", at positions 524 to 776 of the family's 1533-position model. The record is from RNAcentral.
UACGUAGGGUGCAGGCGUUAAUCGGAAUUACUGGGCGUAAAGCGUGCGCAGGCGGUUUGCUAAGACAGGUGUGAAAUCCCCGGGCUUAACCUGGGAACUGCGCUUGUAACUGGCAAGCUAGAGUGUGGCAGAGGGGGGUGGAAUUCCACGUGUAGCAGUGAAAUGCGUAGAGAUAUGGAGGAACACCGAUGGCGAAGGCAGCCCCCUGGGCUAACACUGACGCUCAUGCACGAAAGCGUGGGGAGCAAACAGG